AUGUCGAAGCAGAGCAGUGGCAGUCUGUGUUCAGUGCUCAUGUUCAGAAGAAAACGAUUAAUUGAAAAAAUUAAAGAGGAUGGUUUUCAGUUCCCAGUCUAUUCCUCUCCCUCAUUAAUCAGUUUUACUUCUCUGUCAACACUGGGGGUUUUGAUUCACAUAAAUAUGUGUCUUGAAGUGUUGAAUGUGGCUUGUGACUUUUGGGUUCUCCAUACAGCCAUACUAUUUAUCUGUGACGUGUGCGCUAGCACUGCUGACAACACCCCUUUGGAUCCGUGGCAACUGGCAUCCUUGCAAACCUCCUGA
Molecule: ribosomal RNA, 306 nt
Filed under: Triticum aestivum (bread wheat)
Lineage: Eukaryota; Viridiplantae; Streptophyta; Magnoliopsida; Poales; Poaceae
Description: partial small subunit ribosomal RNA
Source: RNAcentral